GUGGGGAAUAUUGGACAAUGGGCGCAAGCCUGAUCCAGCCAUGCCGCGUGAGUGAUGAAGGCCCUAGGGUUGUAAAGCUCUUUCACCGGAGAAGAUAAUGACGGUAUCCGGAGAAGAAGCCCCGGCUAACUUCGUGCCAGCAGCCGCGGUAAUACGAAGGGGGCUAGCGUUGUUCGGAAUUACUGGGCGUAAAGCGCACGUAGGCGGACAUUUAAGUCAGGGGUGAAAUCCCGGGGCUCAACCCCGGAACUGCCUUUGAUACUGGGUGUCUGGAGUAUGGAAGAGGUAAGUGGAAUUCCGAGUGUAGAGGUGAAAUUCGUAGAUAUUCGGAGGAACACCAGUGGCGAAGGCGGCCAACUGGUCCAUUACUGACGCUGAGGUGCGAAAGCGUGGGGAGCAAACAGGAUUAGAAACCCUAGUAGUCC
This 425-nucleotide ribosomal RNA is filed under the name uncultured bacterium. RNAcentral describes it as "partial 16S ribosomal RNA". It matches the Rfam family "Bacterial small subunit ribosomal RNA", at positions 354 to 796 of the family's 1533-position model. The record is from RNAcentral.